CAACAGGCAUCUGCAAACAAGCGAGGAGCAGCAAAACGAUCCCCAACCCCAAGUUGCUGCUGCGCGCGUUCUGCGCGAUCCGUGGCAGUGACGGGAUAUGCCGUGAGCACAACCUGGAGGCCUUUGAAAGCUGUUCCGGAUAAAUGAAUUGAUAUCCUAGCAAAUUCCAGAGGUGGUAAAUGACUUUAUUUUUCUGGAACAUCUUUACAAACGUGUGGAUUUAUAUACAUUUGGCCAAACACCAACAACAACAACAACAAAAUUGUGAAUGUUUUUACUGCACAUAAUAAAAUGGCUGCAAUGAAAGUGAAGCUUGCUAGUAGCUUGCACCUGACUGAGCAGCUCUCCAGGAAAUGGCGUGUUCUCCUUUGUACCUUCAGUAGCCUUCAAGGUCUAGGGAAAUCAGCACAGGCCUCUGCUGGAUCCUGGAGGUAAGAGGAGCAGGCAAAGAAUAUGAUUUGGUGCGAGGUUGGAGUUCCAGGUUAGAAGAUAAAGACACCUGAGCAGAAGUGGAUAGGCCACGUGCAUGGACGGU
Molecule: long non-coding RNA, 535 nt
Organism: Nycticebus coucang (slow loris)
Lineage: Eukaryota; Metazoa; Chordata; Mammalia; Primates; Lorisidae
Exons: 4
Source: RefSeq, a predicted model, not a curated record